AACGAACGCUGGCGGCAGGCCUAACACAUGCAAGUCGAGCGCAGUCCUUCGGGACCGAGCGGCGGACGGGUUAGUAACGCGUGGGAACGUACCCUUUUCUAAGGAAUAGCCUCGGGAAACUGAGAGUAAUACCUUAUACGCCCUUAGGGGGAAAGAUUUAUCGGAGAAGGAUCGGCCCGCGUUAGAUUAGAUAGUUGGUGGGGUAACGGCCUACCAAGUCUACGAUCUAUAGCUGGUUUUAGAGGAUGAUCAGCAACACUGGGACUGAGACACGGCCCAGACUCCUACGGGAGGCAGCAGUGGGGAAUCUUAGACAAUGGGCGCAAGCCUGAUCUAGCCAUGCCGCGUGAGUGAUGAAGCCUUAGGGUCGUAAAGCUCUUUCGCCAGAGAUGAUAAUGACAGUAUCUGGUAAAGAAACCCCGCUAACU
This 428-nucleotide ribosomal RNA is filed under the name uncultured bacterium. RNAcentral's name for it is "bacterial SSU rRNA". It matches the Rfam family "Bacterial small subunit ribosomal RNA", at positions 29 to 502 of the family's 1533-position model. The record is from RNAcentral.